Molecule: ribosomal RNA, 400 nt
Filed under: uncultured bacterium
Lineage: Bacteria
Description: bacterial SSU rRNA
Rfam family: Bacterial small subunit ribosomal RNA
Source: RNAcentral
UGGGGGAUAUUGCACAAUGGGGGAAACCCUGAUGCAGCAACGCCGCGUGAGUGACGAAGGUCUUCGGAUUGUAAAACUCUGUUCUUGGUGAAGAUAAUGACGGUAGCCAAGGAGAAAGCUCCGGCUAACUACGUGCCAGCAGCCGCGGUAAUACGUAGGGAGCAAGCGUUGUCCGGAAUUACUGGGUGUAAAGGGUGCGUAGGCGGCCCUGCAAGUCAGGCGUGAAAACCAUGGGCUCAACCCGUGGACUGCGUUUGAAACUGUGGGGCUUGAGUGAAGUAGAGGUAGGCGGAAUUCCCGGUGUAGCGGUGAAAUGCGUAGAGAUCGGGAGGAACACCAGUGGCGAAGGCGGCCUACUGGGCUUUAACUGACGCUGAGGCACGAAAGCAUGGGUAGCAAA